AGCGAACGCUGGCGGCAGGCUUAACACAUGCAAGUCGAACGCCCCGCAAGGGGAGUGGCAGACGGGUGAGUAACACGUGGGAACGUACCCUUUGGUUCGGAAUAACUUGGGGAAACUCAAGCUAAUACCGGAUAAGCCCUUAUGGGGAAGGGUUUACUGCCGAAGGAUCGGCCCGCGUCUGAUUAGCUAGUUGGUGAGGUAAUGGCUCACCAAGGCGACGAUCAGUAGCUGGUCUGAGAGGAUGAUCAGCCACACUGGGACUGAGACACGGCCCAGACUCCUACGGGAGGCAGCAGUGGGGAAUAUUGGACAAUGGGGGCAACCCUGAUCCAGCCAUGCCGCGUGAGUGAUGAAGGCCUUAGGGUUGUAAAGCUCUUUUACCCGGGACGAUAAUGACUGUACCGGGAGAAUAAGUCCCGGCUAACUUCGUGCCAGCCGCCGCAGUAA
This 447-nucleotide ribosomal RNA is filed under the name uncultured bacterium. RNAcentral describes it as "partial 16S ribosomal RNA". It matches the Rfam family "Bacterial small subunit ribosomal RNA", at positions 29 to 523 of the family's 1533-position model. The record is from RNAcentral.